Long non-coding RNA from Sorghum bicolor (sorghum), 616 nucleotides. RefSeq lists it as uncharacterized. The transcript is spliced from 2 exons. NCBI's taxonomy places the organism in Eukaryota, Viridiplantae, Streptophyta, Magnoliopsida, Poales, Poaceae. The record is from RefSeq and is a predicted model, not a curated record.
CUCGUGGCUAUGCAUAGUCCCAACGCGCCGCUCCGUCUGCGGCUCGACGCCUCGCCGGGCAGGUUUGUCUCCGGGCCAGUCAAGAAGGAGAUGACCGCCGAGUCGCGCCGGAGCGCAUCCGCCGCCGCCGUCGGCGGCCGACCUGACAGGGCUUCAGGCGCGGCACAAUCGAACUUCACAAGUAUGGAGGGGGCCUUAUGGACAUAGACGGCAGGGAUAUCGCAGCGCUCCGCCAUUGGCAGCCAGAGGUCUGGACAGCUGCAAAUGCCCAUUCAUAAGUGGAAGGGCUCUGACAAGAUCGGCGGGAUCUAUGGUGAUUGGAUAGACGACAAUGAGUAGGAAGGGGCUAUGGUAGGCUGAAGGGAGACUGUUAGUAUCUGUACGACUAUGCUUCAGCUGGUGAAAGUUCAGCAGGCUUAGAAGAUCUAGUUAGCAUUGCAAAACCUUGUCUCGACAAAAUGCAGGGUGUUUGUCCUAUGUUAUGUUCCUGCAUGUCCUGCUGUUGUAAAUGUGACUCAAUUUGGGCUUCCUUGGUAGCUGAACAAGAAACUCAGUUUGGGUUUCAACAAAGAUGUAAAUGUGACUUCUAUAUGAAAUAUAUUUAGAUGUUUUGCAA